Molecule: transfer RNA, 72 nt
Filed under: Candidatus Nanohalococcus occultus
Lineage: Archaea; Nanobdellati; Candidatus Nanohalarchaeota
Also listed under: 1 other name
Description: Candidatus Nanohaloarchaeota archaeon SVXNc tRNA-Thr
Rfam family: tRNA
About the family: Transfer RNA (tRNA) molecules are approximately 80 nucleotides in length. Their secondary structure includes four short double-helical elements and three loops (D, anti-codon, and T loops).
Source: RNAcentral
GCCCCAUUGGCUCAGCGGUAGAGCGCGUCCUUGGUAAGGACGAGAUCCCGGGUUCAAAUCUCGGAUGGGGCU